RNAcentral lists this ribosomal RNA (720 nucleotides) under uncultured anaerobic ammonium-oxidizing bacterium. RNAcentral describes it as "bacterial SSU rRNA". It matches the Rfam family "Bacterial small subunit ribosomal RNA", at positions 565 to 1274 of the family's 1533-position model. The record is from RNAcentral.
GAGCACGUAGGUGGGUUUGUAAGUCAGAUGUGAAAGCCUUCUGUUCAAAGGAAGAACGGCAUCUGAAACUGCAAAUCUUGAGUGUAGGAGGGGAGAGUGGAACUUCUGGUGGAGCGGUGAAAUGCGUAGAUAUCAGAAGGAACGUCGGCGGCGAAAGCGACUCUCUGGCCUAUUACUGACACUGAGUGUGCGAAAGUUAGGGGAGCAAACGGGAUUAGAUACCCCGGUAGUCCUAACCGUAAACGAUGGGCACUAAGUAGAGGGAAUUACCAAUGUUCUCUCUGCCGUAGCUAACGCAUUAAGUGCCCCGCCUGGGGAGUACGGCCGCAAGGCUAAAACUCAAAAGAAUUGACGGGGGCUCGCACAAGCGGUGGAGCAUGUGGUUUAAUUCGAUGCAACGCGAAAAACCUUACCGGGGUUUGACAUGGUAGAAGUAGGAGCCCGAAAGGGUAACCAACGGUAUCCAGUCCGUAACUAUCACAGGUGUUGCAUGGCUGUCGUCAGCUCGUGUCGUGAGACGUUGGGUUAAGUCCCCUAACGAGCGAAACCCUUGUUUUUAGUUACCAUCGGGUUAUGCCGGGUACUCUAAAAAGACUGCCGUCGUCAAGACGGAGGAAGGUGGGGAUGACGUCAAGUCAUCAUGGCCCUUAUACCCCGGGCUGCACACGUGCUACAAUGGUCGGUACAAAAGGAAGCAAGACCGAGAGGUGAAGCGAAUCC